Molecule: ribosomal RNA, 301 nt
Filed under: uncultured bacterium
Lineage: Bacteria
Description: partial 16S ribosomal RNA
Rfam family: Bacterial small subunit ribosomal RNA
Source: RNAcentral
CAGUAGCCGCGGGAACACGAAGGGGGCUAGCGUUGCUCGGAAUGACUGGGCGUAAAGGGCGCGUAGGCGGAUUGUUUAGUUAGGCGUGAAAUUCCUGGGCUUAACCUGGGGACUGCGCUUAAUACAGGCAGUCUAGAGUGAGGAAGAGGGUUGUGGAAUUCCCAGUGUAGAGGUGAAAUUCGUAGAUAUCGGGAAGAACACCGGUGGCGAAGGCGGCAACCUGGUCCUUGACUGACGCUGAGGCGCGAAAGCGUGGGGAGCAAACAGGAUUAGAUACCCGUGUAGUCCCUGUCUCUUAUAC